GACGAACGCUGGCGGCGUGCCUAAUACAUGCAAGUGGGACGCAAGGGAACACACUGUGCUUGCACACCGUGUUUUCUUGAGUCGCGAACGGGUGAGUAACGCGUAGGUAACCUGCCUAUUAGCGGGGGAUAACUAUUGGAAACGAUAGCUAAUACCGCAUAAUAUUAAUUAUUGCAUGAUAAUUGAUUGAAAGAUGCAAGCGCAUCACUAGUAGAUGGACCUGCGUUGUAUUAGCUAGUUGGUAAGGUAAGAGCUUACCAAGGCGACGAUACAUAGCCGACCUGAGAGGGUGAUCGGCCACACUGGGACUGAGACACGGCCCAGACUCCUACGGGAGGCAGCAGUAGGGAAUCUUCGGCAAUGGACGAAAGUCUGACCGAGCAACGCCGCGUGAGUGAAGAAGGUUUUCGGAUCGUAAAGCUCUGUUGUAAGUCAAGAACGUGUGUGAGAGUGGAAAGUUCACACAGUGACGGAGCUA
Molecule: ribosomal RNA, 478 nt
Filed under: Streptococcus mutans
Lineage: Bacteria; Bacillati; Bacillota; Bacilli; Lactobacillales; Streptococcaceae
Description: bacterial SSU rRNA
Rfam family: Bacterial small subunit ribosomal RNA
Source: RNAcentral